This 500-nucleotide ribosomal RNA is filed under the name uncultured bacterium. Its description in RNAcentral is "partial 16S ribosomal RNA". It matches the Rfam family "Bacterial small subunit ribosomal RNA", at positions 30 to 523 of the family's 1533-position model. The record is from RNAcentral.
AUUGAACGCUGGCGGCAUGCCUUACACAUGCAAGUCGAACGGCAGCACGGGAGCAAUCCUGGUGGCGAGUGGCGAACGGGUGAGUAAAGUAUCGGAACGUGCCCAGUCGUGGGGGAUAACGUAGCGAAAGUUACGCUAAUACCGCAUACGAUCUAUGGAUGAAAGCGGGGGAUCGCAAGACCUCGCGCGAUUGGAGCGGCCGAUAUCAGAUUAGGUAGUUGGUGGGGUAAAGGCUCACCAAGCCGACGAUCUGUAGCUGGUCCGAGAGGACGACCAGCCACACUGGGACUGAGAGACGGCCCAGACUCCUACGGGAGGCAGCAGUGGGGAAUUUUGGACAAUGGGCGAAAGCCUGAUCCAGCCAUGCCGCGUGCAGGAUGAAGGCCUUCGGGUUGUAAACUGCUUUUGUACGGAACGAAAAGGUUUGGCCUAAUAAGCUGAGCUCAUGACGGUACCGUAAGAAUAAGCACCGGCUAACUACGUGCCAGCAGCCGCCGUAA